This 273-nucleotide ribosomal RNA is filed under the name uncultured bacterium. Its description in RNAcentral is "partial 16S ribosomal RNA". The record is from RNAcentral.
CUGCUGCCUUCCGUAGGAGUUUGGGCCGUGUCUCAGUCCCAAUGUGGCCGUUCACCCUCUCAGGCCGGCUACUGAUCGUCGCCUUGGUGGGCCGUUACCCCGCCAACCAGCUAAUCAGACGCGGGUCCAUCCUAUACCACCGGAGUUUUUCACACCGGAGCAUGCGCUCCUGUGCGCUUAUGCGGUAUUAACAGUCGUUUCCAACUGUUAUCCCCCUGUAUAGGGCAGGUUACCCACGCGUUACUCACCCGUCCGCCACUAAACUAAACCAAA